AGAGUUUGAUCCUGGCUCAGGACGAACGCUGGCGGCGUGCCUAACACAUGCAAGUCGAACGGAGAAUUUAGAAACAAGAAUUUCGGUUCAAGUUUUUAAAUUUCUUAGUGGCGGACGGGUGAGUAACGCGUGAGCAAUCUGCCUUUCAGAGGGGGAUAACACUCUGAAAAGAGUGCUAAUACCGCAUAACGUGUUUGAGUGGCAUCACUUAGACACCAAAGGAGCAAUCCGCUGAAAGAUGAGCUCGCGUCCAAUUAGGUAGUUGGUGAGGUAACGGCCCACCAAGCCGACGAUUGGUAGCCGGACUGAGAGGUUGAACGGCCACAUUGGGACUGAGACACGGCCCAGACUCCUACGGGAGGCAGCAGUGGGGAAUAUUGCACAAUGGGCGAAAGCCUGAUGCAGCAACGCCGCGUGAGGGAAGACGGCCUUCGGGUUGUAAACCUCUGUCCUCAGUGACGAAACAAAUGACGGUAGCUGAGGAGGAAGCCACGGCUAACUACGUGCCAGCAGCCGCGGU
Molecule: ribosomal RNA, 520 nt
Filed under: uncultured bacterium
Lineage: Bacteria
Description: bacterial SSU rRNA
Rfam family: Bacterial small subunit ribosomal RNA
Source: RNAcentral